This 419-nucleotide ribosomal RNA is filed under the name uncultured bacterium. Its description in RNAcentral is "bacterial SSU rRNA". It matches the Rfam family "Bacterial small subunit ribosomal RNA", at positions 357 to 774 of the family's 1533-position model. The record is from RNAcentral.
AGGAAUAUUGGUCAAUGGACGCAAGUCUGAACCAGCCAUGCCGCGUGAAGGAUGAAGGUCCUCUGGAUUGUAAACUUCUUUUAUCUGGGACGAAAACGGGAUUUUUAUCUCAAUUGACGGUACCAGAGGAAUAAGCACCGGCUAACGCCGUGCCAGCAGCCGCGGUAAUACGGAGGGUGCGAGCGUUAUCCGGAUUUACUGGGUUUAAAGGGUGCGUAGGUGGGCUUAUAAGUCAGUGGUGAAAUCUCCGAGCUUAACUUGGAAACUGCCGUUGAUACUAUAGGUCUUGAAUUAUCUGGAGGUAAGCGGAAUAUGUCCUGUAGCGGUGAAAUGCUUAGAUAUGACAUAGAACACCAAUUGCGAAGGCAGCUUACUACAUAUAAAUUGACGCUGAGGCACGAAAGCGUGGGGAUCAAACA